AUGGCCGACGCCCAGCUGAAUUUUGGCGGCCUGGCUGUUGACCCGCCCGGAAUGGCCAAGAAGAAGAAGGCCAAGGCGCCAAGGAAGCCGCUGUCGGAGUGCACGCCGGAGGAGACCGCCAAGUUGGACACAGAAUCGGCGAAGAGGAGGAACCGGAGGGCGGUCGUCAAGGACAACACUGCUGCGGCCAAGUUCUCCGCCGAGCGCGAUGCGAUGGAGGCCGCGCGGCUCAAGGCCGAGGUCGAGGAGAAGGAGGCCAUCGUCAACAAAGUGCACGCCCUCCUCAUGCUUGGCAUUUGUCGUCCGGCCAGUUUAUCUGCAACGUUCAUGGAGGAUGCGAUCUACGACGGUGGGCAUGUCCCUGCCUACGAUCCCGAGGAGACCCAAAGUCAGGAUGGCCGCGCCCAGAUCGUUGCCGAUGAAGAGGCCGACGACCGUGCUGACUACGACCAUGGUGACUCGUGGCAUGAAGACGAUGACAUAUAUUGCGAAGGUGAUGGUGAUGAAGAAGAAGGCAAUGACAUUGAUAUUAGUGGCGAGCCAUUGUUCAUCAUUGAGCUCACCCAAAGAGCGGAAUCACAAAAGAGGAGGAAGAGCAUUCGCACAGGUUCAUAUACACAAGAGGAGGACAAGUUGAUUUGCCAAUGUUGGAUGGAGAUUAGCCAAGAUCCGAGGACGGGCGCGCAACAAAAGGGCCUAGUUUUUUGGACGAGAGUCCACAAAACUUUCCAUGAAAGGAAGAUGUUUGAGCCCUACCAAAUUACAAGCAACCGUGGCAUCACCUCGAUUCAAAAGAGGCGGUUGUUCAUCCAACAAGAGUGCAACAAGUAUUGCAUCACAUUUGAGAGAGUUGAAGCACGACCCGUGAGUGGUCUCGGCGUUGGGGACAUGGCAUUUCAGUCCUUGGAAGCAUUCAAGGCCCGACACAAUGACAAGUCAUUCACUCUUACGCAUUGUUGGACGAUCAUCAACAAUUGCCCUAAGUUCAAGGAUCAAUACCGUGAACUUCAACGGAAGAGAGGCAAGAAGACGACCAAGUUCGCCGGAGGUGGAGAUGGCGAGGCGUUGAAGAGGCCGAGGGGCAAGACCAACUCCAAGGUGGACGAUAUACGUGAUGCCUCAUCCAUGGCCUUGCAUGAGACUUUGCAUGGCAUGAUGUCUUAA
This 1164-nucleotide ribosomal RNA is filed under the name Triticum aestivum (bread wheat). RNAcentral's name for it is "partial small subunit ribosomal RNA". The record is from RNAcentral. Lineage: Eukaryota; Viridiplantae; Streptophyta; Magnoliopsida; Poales; Poaceae.